RNAcentral lists this ribosomal RNA (407 nucleotides) under uncultured bacterium. RNAcentral's name for it is "partial 16S ribosomal RNA". It matches the Rfam family "Bacterial small subunit ribosomal RNA", at positions 30 to 526 of the family's 1533-position model. The record is from RNAcentral.
AUUGAACGCUAGCGGGAUGCCUUACACAUGCAAGUCGAACGGAGUGGCGAACGGGUGAGUAAUGUAUCGGAACGUGCCCAGUAGCGGGGGAUAACUACGCGAAAGUGAAGCUAAUACCGCAUACUAUUGGAGCGGCCGAUAUUGGAUUAGCUAGUUGGUGGGGUAACGGCUCACCAAGGCGACGAUCCAUAGCAGGUUUGAGAGGACGACCAGCCACACUGGGACUGAGAAACGGCCCAGACUCCUACGGGAGGCAGCAGGGGGGAAUUUUGGACAAUGGGGGAAGCCCUGAUCCAGCCAGCCCGCGUGAGCGAUGAAGGCCUUCGGAUUGUAAAACACUUUUGGCAGGAAAGCGGUACCUACAGAAAAAGCACCGGCUAACUACGUGCCAGCAGCCGCGGUAAUUC